AUUGAACGCUGGCGGCAUGCCUUACACAUGCAAGUCGAACGGUAACAGGUCUUCGGAUGCUGACGAGUGGCGAACGGGUGAGUAAUACAUCGGAACGUGCCUAGUAGUGGGGGAUAACUACUCGAAAGAGUGGCUAAUACCGCAUGAGAUCUACGGAUGAAGGCAGGGGAUCGCAAGACCUUGUGCUACUAGAGCGGCCGAUGGCAGAUUAGGUAGUUGGUGGGAUAAAAGCUUACCAAGCCGACGAUCAGUAGCUGGUCUGAGAGGACGAUCAGCCACACUGGGACUGAGACACGGCCCAGACUCCUACGGGAGGCAGCAGUGGGGAACUUUGGACAAUGGGCGCAAGCCUGAUCCAGCAAUGCCGCGUGCAGGAUGAAGGCCUUCGGGUUGUAAACUGCUUUUGUACGGAACGAAAAGCCCCGGGUUAAUACCCUGGGGUCAUGACGGUACCGUAAGAAUAAGCACCGGCUAACUACGUGCCAGCAGCCGCCGUAA
This 498-nucleotide ribosomal RNA is filed under the name uncultured bacterium. Its description in RNAcentral is "partial 16S ribosomal RNA". It matches the Rfam family "Bacterial small subunit ribosomal RNA", at positions 30 to 523 of the family's 1533-position model. The record is from RNAcentral.